CCUACGGGUGGCAGCAGUGGGGAAUAUUGGGCAAUGGGCGCAAGCCUGACCCAGCAACGCCGCGUGAAGGAAGACGGCCCUCGGGUUGUAAACUUCUUUUAUUCAGGACGAAACAAAUGACGGUAGCGACUGAAUAAGCCACGGCUAACUACGUGCCAGCAGCCGCGGUAAUACGUAGGUGGCAAGCGUUAUCCGGAUUUACUGGGUGUAAAGGGCGUGUAGGCGGGAAAGUAAGUCAGACGUGAAAUUCCAGGGCUCAACCCUGGAACUGCGUUUGAAACUGGUCUUCUUGAGUGAUGGGGAGGCAGGCGGAAUUCGUGGUGUAGCGGUGAAAUGCGUAGAUAUACGGAGGAACACCAGUUGCGAAGGCGGCCUGCUGGACAUUAACUGACGCUGAGGCGCGAAAGCGUGGGGAGCAAACAGGAUUAGAUACCCUUGUAGUC
RNAcentral lists this ribosomal RNA (443 nucleotides) under uncultured bacterium. RNAcentral describes it as "partial 16S ribosomal RNA". It matches the Rfam family "Bacterial small subunit ribosomal RNA", at positions 338 to 795 of the family's 1533-position model. The record is from RNAcentral.